This 78-nucleotide microRNA precursor is filed under the name Schistosoma mansoni. RNAcentral's name for it is "mir-3492 microRNA precursor family". It matches the Rfam family "mir-3492 microRNA precursor family". The record is from Rfam by way of RNAcentral. Lineage: Eukaryota; Metazoa; Platyhelminthes; Trematoda; Strigeidida; Schistosomatidae.
AACUUUUUGAACCCAUGCAGAAAUUUCGUCAGACACCAAACUAUUAGAGCUGAUCAGACUUCCAAGAUAAGUGAAGUU